This is a long non-coding RNA of Manis pentadactyla (Chinese pangolin), 609 nucleotides long. RefSeq lists it as uncharacterized. The record is from RefSeq and is a predicted model, not a curated record. The transcript is spliced from 2 exons. NCBI's taxonomy places the organism in Eukaryota, Metazoa, Chordata, Mammalia, Pholidota, Manidae.
CGUGCUCCGCCGGCGGAAAUUUAAUAGCUACUUACUAGCUCCCACGAAACGUCCCAUAAACAUGGUUCAGAGGUGCUUGGGAGGAGGAAAGCCAAAGGCUGCCGCCGGCCGACUGACUCCACCCCACCUGGAGGCCGGGUCCGAGAAGGCCGACCGUCCAGGGGUCCUGCUGGAGGCGGCGCAGCGUGCGUUUCAGGCAGCGGCCGCCCUGCGUGGCCUUGGCCUGCUGGAGGCGCUGGCGAAAACAGCGACCCUCGCAUCUCUGCACGUCCCUCUUCCUACCUCCCACCUAACUGGACAGAACUGGGGACACUCAUAGGCCACAUUUUACAAAGUCAAGGGCCACUGUGAUUUAAGGGCAAGAACCGAAGCCUCUCUUUCGUCUCUGAGAAUUACCUGGAGGAGGGAUAAUAGAGGAGAGGAAACAUAAUUUCUCUCACCAGAGAUAAGCAUCUUGAGACCACUUUACAAGUCUAUACCCCUGUCCCUUUAUCAUAUUCCUGAAAAUCCUUAAGACAGAAUCCCCAGCCUUUUAGUGCGCCUUCUCUCUAGGUUGCCCGCACUCCCCUUUAAGUGAAUACUUUUAAAUAAAGCUUUCUCACUGUUCAA